Long non-coding RNA from Plodia interpunctella (Indianmeal moth), 311 nucleotides. RefSeq lists it as uncharacterized. Lineage: Eukaryota; Metazoa; Arthropoda; Insecta; Lepidoptera; Pyralidae. The transcript has 2 exons. The record is from RefSeq and is a predicted model, not a curated record.
UUGUUUUUUUUUUUGUGGAUUUCAAUGUUCAUUGAGUGAAGGUGUUAAGAUUAUUCUGGAAAGAGGGACAUUGGAAAAAUAUUCUAAAUUAUUGAAAAGGAAGAAAUUCAUCGAUGGCAACUUUUAAUUUGUCCUUCAUAUCGUAAGCCAGAUUCACUCUCAAAGCGAAGCCCUUCCUGACAGCUCUGUCGACGUUGCUGAACUGGUCUCCGAACACUGGGAUCCCGAUGAUUGGUUUGCCGAAGUGUACAGCCUCAGUGGUCGAUAAGAGACCACCAUGUGUGAUGAACAGGAUGCAGUUGGGAUGAGCU